GGUAGAUGCCUUCCACUCGACUUUGAGGUCCUAGACUUGACUGUCUGGACAUCAAUCGAGGGAUGGAUUGGUUUCUGCUCGUGGUGCUAUCUUGGUCUGCUGAGACAAGGUAGUCAGAUUCUGAGGACAGGAUGGGUCAGAGGUAGUCUUCUGAGGGGACACAGUAGGGAUGCCUAGAAGUUUGAUGUCAGCCUGUCAGGUUCAUAAGGUGCGUAGGAG
Molecule: long non-coding RNA, 219 nt
Filed under: Manihot esculenta (cassava)
Lineage: Eukaryota; Viridiplantae; Streptophyta; Magnoliopsida; Malpighiales; Euphorbiaceae
Description: long non-coding RNA (MESC_LNC004588)
Source: RNAcentral